GACCAUGAGAGGGAUGCUUCCGUGGCCUCCUCUGUCCUCCAUUCUCCUCCAGGGUGGAGUCUGCUGGGUGAGCAGAAGCUCUUCCUCUCUCUCACGGUUCUUUGCAUCCUCCAGGAGCUGUGCACUCAGUCAAAGAGGGCGACCUUCCCCGUAGAUGAGGACUGUUCUUUGGCCAAGGACACAGGAAUUGCUGUGCCUUCCUGCUGGAACUGCCCAACAAGCUCAGAAGGGCUGGUUCCACUCAAAGUCAACUGUCCGCUGCUCUUGUCCUUUGAUUGUGGAUGCCAUUGUUU
Molecule: non-coding RNA, 293 nt
Organism: Cricetulus griseus (Chinese hamster)
Lineage: Eukaryota; Metazoa; Chordata; Mammalia; Rodentia; Cricetidae
Source: Rfam